CUCUGAUUUUUUUUCAGCCAAAAAUCUCUCGUCGAUGUCACUUAAGCUGCUCCAUGAGAAUCUCGUCUCUGGCAGGUGAAUUCUGUUCUCACUUUCUCUGCUGCCCGUGUGGAUACGCGCAAUUUGAGAUUAUUUUUAGUUUCCAUUUUUACCGUCUUGAUCAUUCAGUAUUGAUAUUCUUUUUGUUUUUUUUUUUGUAGUUAGUUUAGUUCAUAAACAUAAUUAAUGUGAAAAUUUACUGUUAAUCAAGUUUUAGAUGUUUCUGCUUAGAAAUGGUAAUGCAAUUAAUCUAUAAAAACAAUCCAGCUUACUUCUUAUAUAUUUUCUCAUUCUUUUUUACGUGGAUGAAAUUUGAUGUCGCUUGUGUUUAUUCUAGUUUGAGAAAUUGUUGGCAAAUAAUUGAUCACAAAUUCUGAUUUAUUACUUUUCGUGUAGAUUUUAAACUGAAGAGCGAGCUUAUCGUUACAAUUAAAUGAUAUAUUUAAAAAACAUUUGAAUUAGCAGUAGUUGGUAAUAUUAUAUCCAAGGCAAUAGAGAAAGACGCUUAAAAAAUUUCAGCAGUUUCUCAGUGGGGAGGGAAAUCACACAAGAAGAAAAAUGGAGAUGGAAGUAUGAUAGUCAUGAUCGGUAUUAGGAACUUGGUUUGGAAGUUGAUGCUUGAUUCCCUAAAUAGAAUGCACAAUGCAGUGGAAAUUUUUGUGCCUAAUUGUUUCCCUAGCAAUCAAAUGCCUGUUUUUGUACCUAUCUCAAACUUACUACAAGGAGUGGUUUCAUAGCACUCAUUUUCAAGUCAUCUUGUAAAUAGAAAAGGAAAAAAUAUAAGAGAAAAAUAAGAAUGGCGAGUCGUGCCACAUGGGUUUGAUAAUGGUUAAGAUGGAACUAGGCAAGCUAACUUGCUAUUAAACCUAUCCUACACGUGGUUCAGUCUCCAAUUCGAAAGAUAAACAUGUAAUCCUUUUCCAUUUUGACUAUACACACAAGAAAAUUUUAUGAUACUUAUUCGGAAACAAAUUCCCAAGCACAUUCAAAAACUGUAGAAACUUUUUUUUUAUUUCUAUUAGUGGUAAAUACCUUGUAAACAAAGCAAUUCCUUGUGAUGCAUGAUAAUCUGAUGAACCUUAAACCAAAAGCCCAAAUAUGCCGGAGCAGAUGUCAGCUAUGUGAAGAAGCAUAAUGAGGAGUUUGACACUGAAAUUUUGUUUGUAAAUUAAACCUAUAUAGAACAUCAUAGAAUUCUAAGAAAAAUUGUUUGGAUAUCUGGUGAAGACAACAUGGUAAUAGACAAAUCUGACAUAAGAAUCUAGUGGAACUCAGUGUAGCAUAUUAGUCAUUGGUUCCGAUCUGAGCUACCAAUUAAUUUUACUAGUUUGUGGAUUGGUGACCCUGAGAUUUAAGAUUCGACAGAUGUGAUUCAUUCUUUUUCUUUUGCAUAGAAAUGAUAAACCUGGUUCCUUCUCAUGAGAGAAGGGGUACACCACAUCCUCCUGUUUUCUUCUUCUGUAGAGUUUUUGCCUCUUUGGUACUUAUUCCAUGCAUUGGAGACUUGUGCCCUCUUCCAAAAGGUGGGACACAGAUUAACUGUCGUAUUAGUGUCAAAUAUGGGUAUUGCAACCCAAUUGUCAUAUUGACCCGGUCCAAAUUAAUAUGAUAGUACAAUUACCUUUUCCCUUUAUAACAGAAUCAAAAGAGUUAGACCAGUUAGUUCCUUAUCCAAGAAAAUAAUGCUUCAAGACAUAUUUUAAUCUGCUGGCUGUUGAGAGAGUCUGUCAAUUUCGAUACUAUUAAAUAAUAAUAUGUAGCGAUGGAUGUUUAAUUCAGGAAUUAUUAAGCAUUGCUUCUUGUUUAUGGGCAUUUGAGUGGGUGGGUACAUACUGCUGAUAGAGGUUUCCUUAUCAAGCACUUUUUGGUUCAUUCUGUGCGUUGUAGCUCUUUUCAUAUCUCAACCAUUAUCUGCUCUUCCCUGUUUAAUCUCAUAGACAUUAAAUGUGGAUAUAGGAGGCCUUAAGUGUCAUAUAUUUUUGCCUUUGCAGACAAUAUUCCUCCAAUUCUCAAAAUACCCAGUGCUGUUUGACAAAUGGUGGAUUCUUUAAGUGUUGUGACAUUUACCCCUUCUUUCUUGUUAAAUGCAUUUGAUGAGUGUUGACUUCCCUUCAUUUUGAGCGCUGAUAACCCAAAAAUUUCCUCUAAUACCCUUCAUGAAUGCAAACAAGUUCUCUGCAUCUGCCCCCAGGGCACAUCUCCAAGUGGUAAAAGGGGAGGGUGGGGAAAUCCAACUUUGCUUGAGGCUGCUGCGUCAAGGAUUCGAAUCCUGAAAUAUGGAUUUGGCUCUUGAGUAAGUGCAAGUGUACAAGCAGCCUUCCACCCUGUACCUUUAGAGGCAUAACCUGCGAUUUACCUCCCUCACGAUGCUCCAGGACAGGGGUGUUGGGGAACCCUUAAGGUUAGGGUUUAACCUUUUUUUAAGUUCUCUGCAUCUAAAUCCUUACAAGCACUAACCAUAUAAAUCUCACCUCUCUUAGGUUCUCCAUUUCUUUGUACGGUUACUAACCCAUCUAUAUAACCUUGUAGGCGAAAUCAAAGAAGGAAGAAGAUCAACCUUUGUACAUUUUAGUAAGGUUUAAGCCAUCUUUCCUUCUUUCCAGCACUUUACAAGAACUUCGUUGCAUGUUUUCAAAAUGAACCAGCAAAAUCAUCACAAUCAACCUCCAUAACCACUAAUGUAGCAUCUGCAUUCCCCGUGGGCAUCAUCAACCUCAUAAUAAUCAAGCGAUAAAAAUCAAAACUGGUAUCAAAUUUAUAGUAGCCUGAUUUUUCAACUGGCCAUGAUUUCUCAAAGAAUGACACUGUGCACAAACCAUCAACUCUUCGUUCGAGCCUCCUAGUUAUUUUUUUCCCUCUGUCCUAAACACCCUCUUCUUUUUGCUUUCUGAAAUGUCUCCUCUGUAAUGUUACCGAACCCAACUCCAGCUGGAUCAAAACCAUCCAUCUCCUUCAACUAAUCAUUAUCUUCAUCUUCCACCUCAUAUUCCCAUUCUUCUAAUACCAACUAAUCCCAUCAUUUUUAUUUUCUCUCAAUUUCUUCCUCAAUAUUAUCCGUAAACUCAUUAUCAUCUUAUUCAAACUUAAUAAAUUUAUUAUUGAAUAAGUCCUCUGUAUACUCCAUCGUCCCCCAAAUUUGUUACUACCAUUUUUUUCUUCUUGUAAUACCUAGGGAGAUUUGGAUCUUCAUCUUGCAUGAACAAUGCACAAACAGGGCAUAUACGCUCCUCAUCUCUUCUGUCAUUGAAAAUCAAACUUUUAUCAUUUUUUUUUUUGAAACCCUUCCAUUCUUUUUCGCACAUUUCUAAACAGUUGCUUCACUACCUUUUACACAUAAGGCAAUGCACUCUUUCUUACAUUUAGCCCUGCAGAUGAGUAAUUUGACAAGUGAGUUUUACGCGAGGUGCAAGAAGAUGAUAGAAAUUAGGGAGAAGAAGAAGAUUUACUGUACCAAGCUGAAAGCUAGAUAAAGGGUUUGCUUCAAUAUUUCUGAGAAUAUUUACCGUACCAAGCUGAAAGCUAGAUAAAGGGUUUGCUUCAAUAUUUCUGUCUAACAAAAAAUAUAAUUUCAUUGUGACAAUUGUUGUUCAUAGAGAGGCUGUUGACAACUUUAGCCAAAAAAUCUUUGGAAAAUUGUAAAACUAACUUUUACAUUUUUUUGAUCGUGGAUAAAAUAAAAAGUACUUUUAUUGUAAAUAAAUAAAUAAAUUCUACUCUAAAUAAAUAUUUCAACUUAGAUUAUAUUCCCACGAUCCAAUAACCUACACACUGUCAAUAAAAUCAGGCAAGCUAAUGAAAUAACGAAUAAAGAUUGAAUUUAGAUAAAUGAACUACGCUCUUGUAGGUUUUAAAACAUACAUAAAAAAAAAAAAAAACCAGAAAAGGAUAUGGAAACAAACUCCAAAAACACAACGAACAAACUCCAAAAUAGUUGACAACAAUAAAGAACAGGAUAACUAGAAACACCUUUAAAAUCCACAUAGAGAGAGAUAUUUGAAUAUUGAAUAUUAAUGGUAGCAAUUGAUGCCUCUUAGGAAAAUUCUAAGUCUACCGAAAAUUGUUUACAGAAUUUAUACAGGGAGGUCUUCCUGUGAUUGACUGUCUCUCCUUUCUAUAAAAAAAGGGGUAAAUUAGAUCGAAUUUCUCAACCUUCCAGUUAAAUUAUGCCAUCGUCUCCUUUCAAAAGUUUUGCGCAGUUUAUCUUUUCUGCUCCACUUUCAUAACACAUAAGUACUGUUGCUUAGUUAUAAACUAGCAAUGUUGUUUUUAUUAAAGAUUAUAAUCUUUACUCCUUAAUUUUAUUUGCAUUUCUUUGGUCAUUUUUUUUAAUAACGUAUACUUUUUAAAGUAGUUCCUAUUGAUUGUCUGGACCUGAUAAAUGUCCUUUUUUGAUUUUUUAGUUAAGCCACUCUAGAUGGCACGCUUUAUCAAUAGCAAAAUAAAUAAAGUACAACUUAAGAUGGAGCUUUGCCUGACAUCUUAACUAAUUAAAACAGGGGUUCACGAUGGUCAUACUUCUUAUCAUGUAUAAAAUCGUAGUGGUUCACCUUUCAUAUUCUGUGCUAGAUGGUGAAUGUGUGAAAUUAUGGCCAUAUCGAAAAUUCGAAAUAUCCAUUUGCAUCAUCUACUUCACCAUUGACAUAACCAAAGACAUCUCCAUCAUGAUUACUAAUAUUCCACCAUUACUUCCAGUUUUAGGGUUUCUUUUGAUAUAUCUAUGGAAAGAGAAUACGACAAACACGAGCACCUGAUGCUUCUGCAUUCUGUGGUUGGUGCUGUGAUGUUGUUUGCUAAAUAAUUUAUUAUGUAUAAAUGAAAACCGUUCUAUUGGGGGGGGGGGGGGGGGGGGGGACUCUUCAAUAGGAUUAAGAAGAAUCCCGAUUUGAAUUCUUGAAAAAUCGGUGUAGAUUUAUGUAAAACUUCCGUAUUGUGUUCUACAGGAUUUGGCCAUUUCUUUGAGUCUCUUGAUUUUUGCAAGCCAUCGGAAGACUAGAAUAUAUGCUAUAAAAGGAUUUGCAAUGAUUACUUUGUGUACGGAGUGUUACAAUCAUUCACUUUUUCUCUACUAAACAAUAAAAGCAUGUGGCUGGCUUGGGUAAUACAAGACAGUUUACAAAGAAAAAAAGAUUAAAUUUUGAACAAAUAUACUGUCAAAUACUAUGUACCAAAUAUGUACUAAGAAGACAUUAUUCUAAAAGUAGGUUGAUUCUUAGAAGAUGGAUAAAGGAAUAGAAGUUGAAAGGAAAUAUGAUCGUUGCUUAAUGUUGUUUGACUUGAUCACAAAUCGGAAGAAUUAGAAAUGUGCAAGUCUAUCCGCUUCAUUUGGGAUGAUAUAAUUUAGUCUCUCUGUAUGUUGAAUAAGGGAAAGUUCAUCCCAGCGUAUCCAUAGCGAGCAUGGAGUUGAGGAUAUAGCUUAAGAAAAUUUAACACAUUUAACGCACUAACAUUUCCUUCAAAAUAACAUAGUUUGUGCAUUGCACGGGUAGAGACUAGUAUACAUACAAAUAUGGGACUACAAUUUGUUUGACCUUCUAGCCUCCACUCACUUUUUGAUAAUUUCCCUUGGUAUAAUAUUUGAAUAUAAGACAAAAUGAUUCUAAAUUAUAUUCUCAUUUUUAAUUUUUCACUUUACAAUAUAUUUUUAUCGCAGUUUUUAUAUUUUAUUCAUCACACUAAUAUUUCACAACUUUUGUUUAGUGACAUACAUAUAUGAUGAUAAAACUCGAGAGAAAACUUUUAUUUUCCUCACAAAUAAUGUACGGUAAAUUGGUCUUUUUAUAGUACAAGAGAAUACAUGGAAAAAAAAAAAUUAAUCUCCUACAAUUCUAAUAAAUCACAAUAUCCUAUCCAUGAUAACAGGAAUAAACGGCAAUUUUUACUCAGUCAAUUAGGGAUUUCGACACUCCCCCUCAAGUCGGAUCAUAGAUGUUAAUCAUAUCCAACUUAAAAAUGAAAUCAUCAAAUUUCUGCCUAUGUAGUCCUUUGGUGAAAACAUAUGCAACCUGUGUUUGUGUAGGAAUAUACGUCAUGCAAAUGGUUCCCUCCUCAACAUUUUCCUUAAUACAGUGUCUAUCCACCUUUACAUGCUUUGUUCCGAUCAUGCUGAAUUGGAUUGAGGGAAAUGUUAAUUUUUGCUUUAUAAUCAUAGUAGAGUUUGAUGGGCAACUUUACUAUGACAUUUAAUUUUUCCAACAGUUUUAUCAACCACAUUACUUCGCAUUGGUCCAAAAUCUUUUACCUCAAAUUCAGUGGUAAGGCUUCUCUUUAGUCUUUCCAUUUCAACUAUAUUUUCACAUGUUAAAAUAAUAUCAUCGACAUAUACUAUUAGAAUCAUUUUAGUACCAUCUUCAAAUGGUCGAAGAAACAUGGUGUGAUCUGAGUGCCCUUGGCGAUAUCUCUGGCUUUUUAGUACUUUCGCAAACCAAUCAAACCAUGCUCUUUGUGACUGCUUGAGUCCAUAAGGACUUUUUUAGCUUGCAUACCUUAUUUCUUUCAUGUACCUUAUAGAAUCCUAACGGUAAUGUCAUGAAUACUUUUUUUUUUCUAAUUCCCCAUUUAAGAAAGCAUUUUUAAUUUCUAGUUGCUGAAGUGGCCAAACCAAAUUUGUAGUUAGUGAUAGAAGAACCCGAAUUGUAUUCAGUUUUACUACUGAUGCAAAUGUAUCUGUGUAGUCAAUGUCGUAAGUUUGUGUGUAUCCUUUUGCAACCAACCGAGUUUUAUACCGUUCUAUUGUCCCAUCGACUUUGUCUUUCAAGUUAAAAAUCCAUUUACAUCCAAUGGGUUUUUUCCCUUUUGACAGAUCCAUCACUUUUCAGGUCUCCUUUUUUUCCCCUAAGCUCGCAUUUCUUGCAAAACCGCUUCUUUCUAUUUUGGAAUUUUCAAGGCUUCCUGAAUAGUUCUUGGGAUCAUUGUACUGUCAAGAUAAGUGGUAAAAGCGUGAAACCCUGUAGUUAAAGCAUUUUAUGACAAGAAUUUUGAAAUAUGAUGUAGAGUACAUGACCGUGUUUGUUUUCUGAGAGCAAUGGGUAAAUCCCUAUCCAAUAUCUCUAAGGUUUUUUGAGGUUCUGAAGCUAUCAUCUAUUUUGACUCUUUUGGUGCUUCAGAUGUGAGAUUCUCCAAGUUAUUUUGUUUUGGCUUUCUUAAAUAAACUAGUAUAUCCUUAUCAUUAUGCAUUUCUACAUCUCCCCCUGUAUUCAAGUUCCCUUCUGGCAUAGUAGAUUCAGAUGGUGGGACAGGUUCAGGAGGGAAGAGACUGAAGUCAAAGAACUGAUCUUCAUGCAGGGUCUCCCCCUGAAGAGAGGUGUUGGUAAAAUAUGGAGUAUUUUAAAAAGAAGUAACUUCAAGACUUAAAAAGAUUUUCUUCGUGGAAGAAUCAUAACAUUUGUAGCCCUUUUGUAUAGGAGAAUAUCUAAUCAAAACACAUUUAACUGCUGGGGGAUCCAAUUUACUUCAGUGAUGAGAGUGAAUAUGAACGAAUGUAGUACGGACAAACACUCUUAGGAGUAGCUUAGAGCUAAGUUCAGAAGUCGGGAAGUAUUUCUUAAAUUUUUAGAUAGGUGUCUUGAAGUUUAGGACACGAUUGGGCAUUGGAUUCAUUAGAUAGGUGGAUGUGAGGAUAGCAACCCCCAUAACAUCUUAGGCAUAUUCAUAGUACACAUUAAGGCACGGGCAACCUCUAGGAGAUGCCUAUUUUUGCAUUCAGCGAUCCCAUUUUGUUGAGUAACUUUGAUGAAUUAUUUCAGGUUUUUGAAGGAAGUCGCCAAUGAUGGUGUUGAAGUAUUCAGUGCCAUUGUCAGUAUGUAAGAUUUGAAGUUGUGUUUGGAAUUGCAAUUGGAUCAUGGAGUGAAAGUUGAUAAACAUGAGACGGACAUCGGAUUUAUCUUUUAGUAGGUAGACCAAACUAAGUCAGGUGUGAUCAUCGAUAAAAGUGAAACCAUUUUGUGCGAGUACUAUUCGGGACUCGUGAGGGUCCCCAUACAUCGCUAGGAAUCAUGGUGAAUGAUUUUGAUGGUUUGUAUGUGGAUUAUGGAAAUGAUGUGCGUUGAUGUUUUGCAAGUUCACAGAUUUCACAUUGAAAAUUAACUUGCUUUUUAUUCUUGAAAAUAGAGGGC
RNAcentral lists this long non-coding RNA (8150 nucleotides) under Olea europaea subsp. europaea. The record is from RNAcentral. Lineage: Eukaryota; Viridiplantae; Streptophyta; Magnoliopsida; Lamiales; Oleaceae.